RNAcentral lists this ribosomal RNA (419 nucleotides) under uncultured ammonia-oxidizing beta proteobacterium. RNAcentral describes it as "bacterial SSU rRNA". It matches the Rfam family "Bacterial small subunit ribosomal RNA", at positions 197 to 597 of the family's 1533-position model. Lineage: Bacteria; Pseudomonadati; Pseudomonadota; Betaproteobacteria. The record is from RNAcentral.
UGGAGAAAAGCAGGGGAUCGUAAGACCUUGCGCUUUUGGAGCGGCCGAUGUCUGAUUAGCUAGUUGGUGGGGUAAUGGCCUACCAAAGCUUCGAUCAGUAGCUGGUCUGGGAGGACGGCCAGCCACACUGGGACUGAGACACGGCCCAGACUCCUACGGGAGGCAGCAGUGGGGAAUUUUGGACAAUGGGCGCAAGCCUGAUCCAGCCAUGCCGCGUGAGUGAAGAAGGCCUUCGGGUUGUAAAGCUCUUUCAGCCGGGAAGAAAAGGCUGCGACUAAUAAUCGCAGUUCAUGACGGUACCGGAAGAAGAAGCACCGGCUAACUACGUGCCAGCAGCCGCGGUAAUACGUAGGGUGCGAGCGUUAAUCGGAAUUACUGGGCGUAAAGGGUGCGCAGGCGGUUUUGUAAGUCAGAUGUGA